UACGAGAGGUGCAAGCGUUGUUCGGAAUUAUUGGGCGUAAAGCGUGCGCAGGCGGGAUUGUAUGUCAAUUGUGAAAUCCCCGGGCUUAACCUGGGACGUGCAGUUGAAACUGCAAUUCUUGAAUACCUGAGAGGGUGGGGGAAUUCCUGGUGGAGAAGUGAAAUUCGUAGAGAUCAGGAGGAACAUCGGAGGCGAAGGCGCCUACCUGGCAGUGUAUUGACGCUCAUGCACGAAAGCGCGGGGAG
This 245-nucleotide ribosomal RNA is filed under the name uncultured bacterium. Its description in RNAcentral is "partial 16S ribosomal RNA". It matches the Rfam family "Bacterial small subunit ribosomal RNA", at positions 524 to 768 of the family's 1533-position model. The record is from RNAcentral.